Molecule: non-coding RNA, 45 nt
Organism: Rattus norvegicus (Norway rat)
Lineage: Eukaryota; Metazoa; Chordata; Mammalia; Rodentia; Muridae
Source: Rfam
UCCAAGGCUUUAUCCAAAGCCACAAUUAUUUAAAAAGAAAAUGAA